GACGAACGCUGGCGGCGUGCUUAACACAUGCAAGUCGAACGGAAAGGCCCUGCUUUUGUGGGGUGCUCGAGUGGCGAACGGGUGAGUAACACGUGAGUAACCUGCCCUUGACUUUGGGAUAACUUCAGGAAACUGGGGCUAAUACCGGAUAGGAGCUCCUGCUGCAUGGUGGGGGUUGGAAAGUUUCGGCGGUUGGGGAUGGACUCGCGGCUUAUCAGCUUGUUGGUGGGGUAGUGGCUUACCAAGGCUUUGACGGGUAGCCGGCCUGAGAGGGUGACCGGCCACAUUGGGACUGAGAUACGGCCCAGACUCCUACGGGAGGCAGCAGUGGGGAAUAUUGCACAGUGGGCGGAAGCCUGAUGCAGCAACGCCGCGUGCGGUAUGACGGCCUUCGGGUUGUAAACCGCUUUCGCCUGUGACGAAGCGUGAGUGACGGUAAUGGGUAAAGAAGCACCGGCUAACUACGUG
Molecule: ribosomal RNA, 468 nt
Filed under: uncultured bacterium
Lineage: Bacteria
Description: partial 16S ribosomal RNA
Rfam family: Bacterial small subunit ribosomal RNA
Source: RNAcentral